GGAAUCAUCGGCAUGCACCGCCUCCAGCCACCGCAUGCAACCACCACCGUUCCCACAGCCAUGCCUAGUCGGAAAUGCAACUUCCAACCACUUUCUCCCCUCACUGCCAUCACAAAUCGAUUCGGAACAAGCCACUCACUCAAAGCCCCGAAGCUUUUGCAUUGUCUGACGCCGGAAGACCACCGAACACGCCUCACGUCAAAGCCCCCGCCACUGCCUGUCUCCGAUCUCUAAUUUCCAUUUCGAAUCGAGCUACAAUACCGGAAUGGAUACAAUCAUCGCUUCACGACCUCCCAAAACCCCAAACUCAGGACCUCCGGUUUCGGCCAGAGCCUCCACACGCGCCUCACGCGCCGCCGCUGGCACGUGAGCUACCCAGACACGCUGUGAGCGUCACCGGCUUACUCUUCCAUCUGGUGAGCUAGAUUUCGUCACACCUCUCCAUAAUUGAAACCUCUAGUUUGAUUUGGACAGAGAACCCUAACUCUAUCGUUUGAAUUCCGGAUUGUGUGAGGUUAUGGAUUUCUGCGUUCCUGGAAGUUUUGGGGAAGGAGAAGAAUGUUGGGUCAGUUUCAAUUGAAACGGGAAGAGGUGUUUACAUGACUGUUGAUGGUGAAUUGCAGUGAUUGGAAUUAACUUCCAAAUCUGGUAAAGAAGAAUGGUAAGGUUUGGAUACUUGGAUUUGUUACUUGGUGAGGUUGUUAAAAAUCAGCAGAAUGUUGUUUGUAGUCUCGUGAAUGGAAAAGUGUUAAAAUGGGGAUAUUGAUAUGUUGUUGAAUUUAUGA
Molecule: long non-coding RNA, 785 nt
Organism: Rosa rugosa (rugosa rose)
Lineage: Eukaryota; Viridiplantae; Streptophyta; Magnoliopsida; Rosales; Rosaceae
Exons: 2
Source: RefSeq, a predicted model, not a curated record